Ictidomys tridecemlineatus (thirteen-lined ground squirrel) is the source of this 69-nucleotide non-coding RNA. Lineage: Eukaryota; Metazoa; Chordata; Mammalia; Rodentia; Sciuridae. The record is from Rfam.
GGGAUUGUGGCUCAGUGGUAGAGCACUUGCCUAGCAUGUGUGAGGUACUGGGUUCGAUUCUCAGCACCA